UGCCAGCCGCCGCGGUAAUACGGAGGGUGCGAGCGUUAAUCGGAAUUACUGGGCGUAAAGCGCGCGUAGGUGGUUUGUUAAGUCUGAUGUGAAAUCCCAGGGCUCAACCUUGGAAUGGCACCGGAUACUGGCAGGCUAGAGUACGGUAGAGGGGUGUGGAAUUUCCUGUGUAGCGGUGAAAUGCGUAGAUAUAGGAAGGAACGUCAGUGGCGAAGACGACACCCUGGACUGAUACUGACACUGAGGUGCGAAAGCGUGGGGAGCAAACAGGAUUAGAUA
This 279-nucleotide ribosomal RNA is filed under the name uncultured bacterium. RNAcentral describes it as "partial 16S ribosomal RNA". It matches the Rfam family "Bacterial small subunit ribosomal RNA", at positions 506 to 784 of the family's 1533-position model. The record is from RNAcentral.